Molecule: transfer RNA, 69 nt
Filed under: Ablepharus pannonicus
Lineage: Eukaryota; Metazoa; Chordata; Lepidosauria; Squamata; Scincidae
Description: tRNA-Ala
Rfam family: tRNA
About the family: Transfer RNA (tRNA) molecules are approximately 80 nucleotides in length. Their secondary structure includes four short double-helical elements and three loops (D, anti-codon, and T loops). Further hydrogen bonds mediate the characteristic L-shaped molecular structure. tRNAs have two regions of fundamental functional importance: the anti-codon, which is responsible for specific mRNA codon recognition, and the 3' end, to which the tRNAs corresponding amino acid is attached (by aminoacyl-tRNA synthetases). tRNAs cope with the degeneracy of the genetic code in two manners: having more than one tRNA (with a specific anti-codon) for a particular amino acid; and 'wobble' base-pairing, i.e. permitting non-standard base-pairing at the 3rd anti-codon position.
Source: RNAcentral
GAGGCCUUAGCUUAGUAAAAGUGUCUGAGUUGCAAUCAGGAGAUGUAAAUUAAAGUUUUACAGGUUUUA